GCCCCCGGCGCCGCGGCCGCGGGGGGCGGGCGUCAAGCGGGUGCCCGGGGCCGCGGGGGUGGAGAGGAGCACGCGAGGCGCGGGGGCGUCCGGAGAGCGGGCGGGGGCAGGUCCCAGCGUCUCGGGGGGCCCGGGACUGGGCUCUGGGGGCCCAAGCUUUCCUGGACGCCCCAGGCCAUCAGCGGCGGGGGCGUGGCGGGGGACAGGCAGGAAGCCGGGCCUGGAGGCUGGCUUCUUUGCCGCGUGACCUUGGGGAGAGGCGCCUCCGGCCGCAGCUCCGCGGGUGUGUUUUUAUAACGUUUCCCAGCGUCGGCUCAGCUCCCUGCGAGCCGCGCCACGCCCCGUCCAGCCGGAGCCGAAGGAAUGACUGCCCCCGGGUCAGACACCGGGGCCCGCAAGGAGGAAGAGGCGGUUGGUUUCAAUACCGCGCAGCCGGCCCAGCCCAUGAGGCCUCGAGCAGCCUCAGUUUCCCUGUCCGUGGUGCUGAGGACGCCGGGGCCUGGAUGCGCGGGGCGGGCGGGGCGGCAUCCCGGUCGCUGCCCGGGACACUGGCCAAAGGGCACAGGGGGUGGAGCGGCGACAGGCAGGAGGGAUGAAGGAGAAGGAGGAAGCCGCCCUUGGAAGAUCCGCUGGGUCCUGGGAGGCUGUGGCCCGACUCUCCUCCCCCAGCCCCGCUGCCUGGGAAUCCGGCCCGACGGGAUUCCUGCGCCCCCUCGCUCGCGGUGGGAGAAGGCGCUGGGCGGAGCGGCAGGGAGAUGCAAGGUGAAGACAACAGCAUCACGAGAAGGAGAGAGCCUGCAUCCCAGAAUUACCCAGUGGAGGAGAGAUGCCUGACCAGGAAUGUCUACAAGGAUUUUGUGUGAGCCAGAAGCAAAGCUUUAAGUGUUCAGCUGCUGAGACUGGGGGCUAUUUGUUAUAGCAGCUGGCCUAGCCUAACACAUCACUCCCUUCCUCUGUUGUAGUCACCCCGCAAACCCCCACAGGGGCGGGGGGAAACCAACUGGCUCCUUUUUACCUGCCCUUCUCAACUGCCCCUGAAAGUCUGGAGGAUAAGUGGUUCAACUGGUUUUCCCUUAAAUUCAUGACCAUGAGCCAAGUGGGUCCUCACACGGUCCUACUGCCUGUCCCAGUAGGUUGCUCUUUCUUGUCUGAGCUGACCAACUUUACCAUCUUAAACGUUUUUAAGUGUACUGUUCAGGAAUGUUAAGUACUUCUCAUUGUUGUGCAACCAACCUCCAGCGCUCUUCUCCCCUUGCAGAACUGAAAGUCUGUGCCCUUUAAAAGCUCCCAUCCCCAUCCCCCAGCCCCUGGCACCCACCAUCC
Molecule: long non-coding RNA, 1323 nt
Filed under: Equus asinus (donkey)
Lineage: Eukaryota; Metazoa; Chordata; Mammalia; Perissodactyla; Equidae
Description: lncRNA (ENSEASG00005031936.1)
Source: RNAcentral